CUGGGCUCACCGCGGCCUUCCAUAUGGCCUCCUGUUUUGUUACUCAUAGAAACUGAGAAAUUUCCGCUGUCCUGGACCCCAGGAAGGAUAUAUGAGGGUACCCCGCAGCACUCACCAGCUGACAUGGAGAGGCAAGCCGGCAAGUGAUGCGGGAGCACAGGAGGAGGACGAGAAGAGGCCCACCCAGUGC
Molecule: long non-coding RNA, 190 nt
Organism: Lemur catta (Ring-tailed lemur)
Lineage: Eukaryota; Metazoa; Chordata; Mammalia; Primates; Lemuridae
Exons: 3
Source: RefSeq, a predicted model, not a curated record